RNAcentral lists this ribosomal RNA (443 nucleotides) under uncultured soil bacterium. Its description in RNAcentral is "bacterial SSU rRNA". It matches the Rfam family "Bacterial small subunit ribosomal RNA", at positions 26 to 518 of the family's 1533-position model. The record is from RNAcentral.
AGAGCGAACGCUGGCGGCAGGCCUAACACAUGCAAGUCGAACGGACUCUUCGGAGUUAGUGGCGGACGGGUGAGUAACACGUGGGAACGUGCCUUUAGGUUCGGAAUAGCUCCUGGAAACGGGUGGUAAUGCCGAAUGUGCCCUUCGGGGGAAAGAUUUAUCGCCUUUAGAGCGGCCCGCGUCUGAUUAGCUAGUUGGUGAGGUAAAGGCUCACCAAGGCUACGAUCAGUAGCUGGUCUGAGAGGAUGACCAGCCACAUUGGGACUGAGACACGGCCCAAACUCCUACGGGAGGCAGCAGUGGGGAAUCUUGCGCAAUGGGCGAAAGCCUGACGCAGCCAUGCCGCGUGAAUGAUGAAGGUCUUGGGAUUGUAAAAUUCCUUCAGUAGGACGAUAAUGACGGUACCUACAGAAGAAGCCCGACUAACUCGCGCCAGCAGCCGC